This 73-nucleotide transfer RNA is filed under the name Caerostris darwini. RNAcentral's name for it is "tRNA-Val". It matches the Rfam family "tRNA". Rfam says of the family: Transfer RNA (tRNA) molecules are approximately 80 nucleotides in length. Their secondary structure includes four short double-helical elements and three loops (D, anti-codon, and T loops). Lineage: Eukaryota; Metazoa; Arthropoda; Arachnida; Araneae; Araneidae. The record is from RNAcentral.
CGUUCCGUAGUGUAGUGGUUAUCACGUUUGCUUUACACGCAAAAGGUCCCCUGUUCGAUCCCGGGCGGAACCA